UACAGAGGUCCCAAGCGUUGUUCGGAUUCACUGGGCGUAAAGGGUGCGUAGGUGGUGAGGUAAGUCGGAUGUGAAAGCUCGGAGCUCAACUCCGAAAUGGCAUUGGAAACUACCUUGCUCGAGGGUUGGAGGGGGGACUGGAAUACUUGGUGUAGCAGUGAAAUGCGUAGAUAUCAAGUGGAACACCAGUGGCGAAGGCGAGUCCCUGGACAACUCCUGACACUGAGGCACGAAAGCUAGGGGAGCAAACAG
Molecule: ribosomal RNA, 252 nt
Filed under: uncultured bacterium
Lineage: Bacteria
Description: partial 16S ribosomal RNA
Rfam family: Bacterial small subunit ribosomal RNA
Source: RNAcentral